RNAcentral lists this ribosomal RNA (225 nucleotides) under Craspedostauros australis. RNAcentral describes it as "partial Eukaryotic large subunit ribosomal RNA". It matches the Rfam family "Eukaryotic large subunit ribosomal RNA", at positions 2409 to 2638 of the family's 3401-position model. Lineage: Eukaryota; Bacillariophyta; Bacillariophyceae; Mastogloiales; Achnanthaceae. The record is from RNAcentral.
GACCCUGUUGAGCUUGACUCUAGUUUGACAUUGUGAAAAGACAUAGGGGGUGUAGAAUAGGUGGGAGCUUCGGCGCCGGUGAAAUACCACUACCCUUAUCGUUUUUUUACUUAAUCAAUGAAGCGGAACUGGGCUUUACCGCCCAAUUUCUAGCAUUAAGGUCCUUCGCGGGCCGAUCCGGGUUGAUGACAUUGUCAGGUGGGGAGUUUGGCUGGGGCGGCACAU